AAUACACCGAAGAACAAGAAGAGUACCUUUUGGAAAAGGCUGGUACAGAGAGCCGCUGCUGCUGGAAUGCGGUCCUGCUGAAAAAGGGAAUGGACUUGUGAGGGCAAACUGAACGCAGAUGGUUCUCUGUCAGUAGGGGCGACGGGAUUGACCGUUAUAUCAAACGAAAGUGCGCCGGACUCCGGCGAAUUUAGGUGGCACCGCAGAGUAUGCUUCUGUCCUAAUG
Molecule: non-coding RNA, 226 nt
Filed under: Ruminococcus sp.
Lineage: Bacteria; Bacillati; Bacillota; Clostridia; Eubacteriales; Oscillospiraceae
Description: T-box sequence
Rfam family: T-box leader
About the family: Uncharged tRNA acts as the effector for transcription antitermination of genes in the T-box leader family. T-boxes are found upstream of many aminoacyl-tRNA synthetase genes and some amino acid biosynthetic genes usually in Gram-positive bacteria.
Source: RNAcentral